AUCCAGCUGACGAGUCACAAAUAGGACGAAACACGCGUCAAACUGGAU
RNAcentral lists this non-coding RNA (48 nucleotides) under Schistosoma mattheei. Lineage: Eukaryota; Metazoa; Platyhelminthes; Trematoda; Strigeidida; Schistosomatidae. The record is from RNAcentral.